Molecule: ribosomal RNA, 484 nt
Filed under: uncultured bacterium
Lineage: Bacteria
Description: partial 16S ribosomal RNA
Rfam family: Bacterial small subunit ribosomal RNA
Source: RNAcentral
AUUGAACGCUGGCGGCAGGCCUAACACAUGCAAGUCGAGCGGAUGAAGGGAGCUUGCUCCUGGAUUCAGCGGCGGACGGGUGAGUAAUGCCUAGGAAUCUGCCUGGUAGUGGGGGAUAACGUCCGGAAACGGGCGCUAAUACCGCAUACGUCCUGAGGGAGAAAGUGGGGGAUCUUCGGACCUCGCGCUAUCAGAUGAGCCUAGGUCGGAUUAGCUAGUUGGUGGGGUAAAGGCCUACCAAGGCGACGAUCCGUAACUGGUCUGAGAGGAUGAUCAGUCACACUGGAACUGAGACACGGUCCAGACUCCUACGGGAGGCAGCAGUGGGGAAUAUUGGACAAUGGGCGAAAGCCUGAUCCAGCCAUGCCGCGUGUGUGAAGAAGGUCUUCGGAUUGUAAAGCACUUUAAGUUGGGAGGAAGGGCAGUAAGUUAAUACCUUGCUGUUUUGGCGUUACCAACAGAAUAAGCACCGGCUAACUUCGUG